AGAUAUAUAGUUAAGUUAAUAUUAAUUUGUCAAAUUAAAGAUGAGUAUAUUCC
This 53-nucleotide transfer RNA is filed under the name Cheiracanthium triviale. RNAcentral's name for it is "tRNA-Asp". The record is from RNAcentral. RNAcentral also lists the same sequence under 1 other name. Lineage: Eukaryota; Metazoa; Arthropoda; Arachnida; Araneae; Cheiracanthiidae.